This 1929-nucleotide long non-coding RNA is filed under the name Marmota monax (woodchuck). The record is from RNAcentral. Lineage: Eukaryota; Metazoa; Chordata; Mammalia; Rodentia; Sciuridae.
UAUGGAAACGAGUUUCUCCUUAGAGCGCACUGCGUGGCCAGAGAGUUGGGUCCAGACUGAGCCCAUUUCUCAUCCACUCCUGUCUUCAGGGCCAAACCUAACAGAAUCCCAAUGGCCCCUCCCUCAUCCCAUAGCUCAAACUGUAUGUUUGGAGACUGGGCGGGGACACCAACCCCCACAGGUGUGUAGUAGGUGGUGCCAGAUGGAGGUAGGUGGAGGAGGCCAAAGAUCUCAUAAUGGACAGAAGACUCAAACUGAAAGGGAAUUUCAGAAGGUAACUCUGCACUUUGAAUCUAACUCACAUUUCCCUUAUUGUCACACGAAGACCCAUUUCCCCAACAGUCUUUUUUCUGUAUACUCUUACAAUGAGAAGAAAAAUACCACAUAUUAAGCACAUAUAAAGCAGGCAAUACACUAGGUUCUUUAUAAAUAUCAUCAAUUCCUCACAUAUUGAGAUGUUAACUGUUUUAAAACAGGAAAAUGUAGGCUCAGGGGUGUUAAACAAUUUGACUAAGGCCACACAGCUAGGAUUUCUCUGUUACUUCUGAUUCCAGUGUUAUACCUGACCUAAAGUCCUUCUUAAUCACUUAUGCUAAUAAUUAACAGUUGUACAAUCCUUAGGACAGAUCCAGGUUUGGGGGGACCUGAAGCUUGUACAAUUUGGCACUCUCUUUAAGGAAUAGAAUGAAAAGACGAGUAAUACAAAAUUGGAAUCAGAGCCUGGGAAGGGGCCCCAGCCUGACUUUACAGUUUACAAAUCAUUUCAUCCUUGUGAGAUCAAGAUUAUCAUUUCAUUUGCCUUAGGUCAGAGCUAAACCUCAGGAGGUUACCUAGAUGUACAGCAUCAUGUGAUUCAGGAAAGACCCGGCUAUGGAUGGAAACCGCUGAAUACAGCUGUAUCUUUAAGAGACAAACUCCAGGCAGAUGUGGUUCAGCCAGGCAGACGUGCCUAAACAAUAGCAGCUGCGAUAACAGUCCUCUCUGUGGUGUUUGGGGAGAGGACACUUGUCCCUGUCUGCCCUUAGGAUAGCAUUUGUUCCUAAGCAGUGACCCAGCUUCUCUCAUGGUCAGUCUUGAGACAUCCAGGGUCAAGGAACAGGAAGUUGGACGAAAGCUGAAUGUUGCCUUUGCUCUUCCAGUGGCCUCUUAGCUCCUCCACCUUGUUCCUAAAGAAGGGAAGAUGGCCAGGGUCAGCAGGGCAGGGUUCAGGGUGGACAUUCAGUGUGGGCAGGGGUCCUGCCCCAAACAGCUUGGAGUCCUGUGAUGACAGAUGGCUCCACGCCAGGCCUUAUCUCUUUGACCAUCCCAAACAGGAAUGAGCAGCAUGUCCGAUCUGGGGCCUGGGAGCAGGAAAGGGAUGAGGGAUGGCUUUUCCACUCCAGGGGAGUGUCCAGAGGGAAUGUGGGAGCAGGAGCUGGGGCGACUGCUAAGGGGAGGGCCUGGCUAAGGAAUGUAGGGGAGUGUCAGACAGAUCUGGGGGAGAUGUAGGAGACUGGAAGGGUCUGGGCUGGAGAGAUGGGGAAAAAGAAAUCCCAAGUUCAUGCCACAGACCAGAAGUCCUUUGGUUUUUAUUCCCAUCCACAGCCUCAUUUCAUUCCCCAGUUGACUUGACCAUGUCAUCUCCAUCGGUCAACUUUUCCCCAGGUAGAAGGGACCCACCUAGUAAUGCAGACUGAGCAAACAUAGGCACGUUGACUUUUGCUGGUGGCUUUUAAGCCUCAGCCCUCCUGCUUCCCCUAGCGUCCUACACGUGAUGAGCGGAUAAGAAAACCUGGUGCAGCCUCCUUUGGCAAUGGAGGCAGAUUCACAAGCCCCUUCCUGCCUGAACAUUGGCCCCAACCAUGAUAUAAACCAGAGUCGACCUCCUCUCCUGGCUCUCAAGCCCUGUGGGACCCGCUUGAGAGGCUGGCCCUGCUCUACUGAGACCAC